This 750-nucleotide ribosomal RNA is filed under the name Alcanivorax sp. RNAcentral's name for it is "partial 23S ribosomal RNA". It matches the Rfam family "Bacterial large subunit ribosomal RNA", at positions 2200 to 2925 of the family's 2925-position model. The record is from RNAcentral. Lineage: Bacteria; Pseudomonadati; Pseudomonadota; Gammaproteobacteria; Oceanospirillales; Alcanivoracaceae.
CCACCCUUGUAUGUUUGAUGUUCUAACCUAGCACCCUAAUCGGGUGUGGGGACACUGUCUGGUGGGUAGUUUGACUGGGGCGGUCUCCUCCCAAAGAGUAACGGAGGAGCACGAAGGUUGGCUAAGUACGGUCGGACAUCGUACGGUUAGUGCAAUGGCAUAAGCCAGCUUAACUGCGAGACAGACACGUCGAGCAGGUACGAAAGUAGGUCAUAGUGAUCCGGUGGUUCUGUAUGGAAGGGCCAUCGCUCAACGGAUAAAAGGUACUCCGGGGAUAACAGGCUGAUACCGCCCAAGAGUUCACAUCGACGGCGGUGUUUGGCACCUCGAUGUCGGCUCAUCACAUCCUGGGGCUGAAGCCGGUCCCAAGGGUAUGGCUGUUCGCCAUUUAAAGUGGUACGCGAGCUGGGUUUAGAACGUCGUGAGACAGUUCGGUCCCUAUCUGCCGUGGGCGUUGGAGAUUUGAGAGGAGCUGCUCCUAGUACGAGAGGACCGGAGUGGACGAACCUCUGGUGUUCCGGUUGUCACGCCAGUGGCACUGCCGGGUAGCUAAGUUCGGAAUCGAUAACCGCUGAAAGCAUCUAAGCGGGAAGCCUCCCUCAAGAUGAGAUCUCCCUGGGCACUUGAUGCCCCUAAAGGGCCGUGGAAGACCACCACGUUGAUAGGCGGGAUGUGGACGCGCUGUGAGGCGUGAAGCUAACCCGUACUAAUUGCCCGUGCGGCUUGACCAUAUAACGCCAAAGCGGUCAC